RNAcentral lists this ribosomal RNA (445 nucleotides) under uncultured bacterium. RNAcentral describes it as "partial 16S ribosomal RNA". It matches the Rfam family "Bacterial small subunit ribosomal RNA", at positions 354 to 796 of the family's 1533-position model. The record is from RNAcentral.
GUGAGGAAUAUUGGUCAAUGGACGGAAGUCUGAACCAGCCAAGUAGCGUGCAGGAUGACGGCCCUAUGGGUUGUAAACUGCUUUUAUGCGGGGGUAAAGUGAGUGACGUGUCAUUCAUUGCAAGUACCGCAAGAAUAAGGACCGGCUAAUUCCGUGCCAGCAGCCGCGGUAAUACGGAAGGUCCUGGUGUUAUCCGGAUUUAUUGGGUUUAAAGGGAGCGUAGGCCGUCAGGCAAGCGUGUUGUGAAAUGUCGUGGCUAAACCAUGGACUUGCAGCGCGAACUGCCCGACUUGAGUGCGCAGAGAGCAGGCGGAAUUUGUGGUGUAGCGGUGAAAUGCUUAGAUAUCACGAAGAACCCCGAUUGCGAAGGCAGCCUGCUGUAGCGCUACUGACGCUGAAGCUCGAAAGGGCGGGUAUCGAACAGGAUUAGAUACCCUGGUAGUCC